GAAGGGGGCUAGCGUUGUUCGGAAUUACUGGGCGUAAAGCGCACGUAGGCGGGUAUUUAAGUCAGGGGUGAAAUCCCAGAGCUCAACUCUGGAACUGCCUUUGAUACUGGGUACCUAGAGUAUGGAAGAGGUAAGUGGAAUUCCGAGUGUAGAGGUGAAAUUCGUAGAUAUUCGGAGGAACACCAGUGGCGAAGGCGGCUUACUGGUCCAUUACUGACGCUGANGUGCNAAAGCGUGGGGAGCAAACAGGAUUANAUACCCUGGUAGUCCACGCCNUANACGAUGAAUGUUAGCCGUCGGCNUGCAUGCNUGUCNGUGNCGCANCUAACGCAUUANANAUUCCGCCUGGNNNG
RNAcentral lists this ribosomal RNA (353 nucleotides) under uncultured bacterium. RNAcentral's name for it is "partial 16S ribosomal RNA". It matches the Rfam family "Bacterial small subunit ribosomal RNA", at positions 527 to 880 of the family's 1533-position model. The record is from RNAcentral.